UAGAAGGGAGGGGAGACGUCUCUGCAAAGACUGUUUAGCUCUCCAGGUCAUUCAGUAUUUGCAAGCAGUAAAUGAAAUUGUCCAAAUUUGUCUUCUCAUGAAAACGUCAGCUUGGGCGCUUAAAGUGAGUAAUUCUUUUCUUAUGGUCUGAAAAAAGAAGUCUCCCCCCCCCACUUUUUUUUUUUUUUUUUUUUUUUACUUUUGUUGCCCUCGAGACCAAAGAGGCUUUUUGUUCUUGUUCCAUGUUUCCAGUUUGCUGGGAUUCUUCAGAUUUGCUUACAUAGAGGACUGAUAUAAAUUUUCAGGUGGAAGAAACCAGAUGCUGACAUGCUUGUUUGGUUUAAGCCAGAGCUGUCACCAGCAGUCUAGCAGUUCUGGAAGGGAUGGCGUUCUUGGAUUCCCCUUUGCCUCUUCCCCUCAGUAAAAUAGAGACAUCAUCUCCCCAGACAAUAACUUGGAUCUACCUGCAACUACUUUGCCAUCAUAAGAGAAGCAAACUUGAGGAUGAAAUGGAUAUGAAUAACAAACAAGUCUGUGUAUGCCAAUGUUCAUAGCAGCACAGCUUGUAAUAGCCAACACCUUGAAGCAAUCUAUGUGUGAAACAACAGGACAGAGAAAUUGAAAGUGGAAGAGAAGCUUGAAAGGGAGAGAAAAAAGAGAGAUACCUGGACCAUUGCUUCAUCAGUCAUGAAGCUUCCCUCUGCAGAUGGAGACCAAGGACUUGAACACAGGCCCUCACACAGUAUAAUGUGUGCAUUCAACCUGGUGUGCCAUCACCCAGCCCUGGAUCAUACAGUUAACCAGCUUCAUCUCACAGAUGAGUACAAGAAAGUCUAGAAGAUGAAUGGGACAGGGCCAGGCAGUGGCACACCUGGUUAAGUACACACAUUACCAUGCGUAGGAACACAGGUUUAAGUCCCUGCAGGGGGAAAGCUUUGUGAGUGGUCAAACAGUGCUGCAGGUAUCUCUCUGUCUCUUUCCCUAUCUCCCCAUUGCCUCUCAAUAUCUCUCUGUCUUUAUCCAGUAAUAGAUAAAUAAUAAUUAUAUACAUAUAUAUAUAUAUAUAUAUCAAAUGAGACUUCCUCAAACUCAAUAUAGUUACUCAUAGUACUAUGCUAUUUUUCUGCUUCUAGACUCCUCAAGGAGAUAAUAAUCCCAAUUCUUUUCAUAUUUCUCCCACUAUUCUCAUAUUCAUCUUUUCCAUCGUUUUUUUUUUUCUAGAUUUCCUUGACCUCCUUGCAGAGGGCAAGUCUUCCAGCAGUGAGACGUUUCCUCCACACAGCUGUGGAAAUUCCUCCCUCCCAGACGACAUUCCUUGGCUUAUGUGCAAGAAUGGAAAACUUUUAAGGUGAAAGUCU
Erinaceus europaeus (western European hedgehog) is the source of this 1358-nucleotide long non-coding RNA. RefSeq lists it as uncharacterized. NCBI's taxonomy places the organism in Eukaryota, Metazoa, Chordata, Mammalia, Eulipotyphla, Erinaceidae. The transcript has 3 exons. The record is from RefSeq and is a predicted model, not a curated record.